RNAcentral lists this ribosomal RNA (444 nucleotides) under uncultured bacterium. Its description in RNAcentral is "SSU rRNA". It matches the Rfam family "Bacterial small subunit ribosomal RNA", at positions 26 to 518 of the family's 1533-position model. The record is from RNAcentral.
AGAGCGAACGCUGGCGGCAGGCCUAACACAUGCAAGUCGAGCGCCCGUAGCAAUACGGGAGCGGCAGACGGGAGAGUAACACGUGGGAACGCGCCCUUCGGUUCGGAAUAACUCAGGGAAACUUGAGCUAAUACCGGAUACGCCCUUACGGGGAAAGAUUUAUUGCCGAAGGAACGGCCCGCGUCCGAUUAGCUUGUUGGUGAGGUAAUGGCUCACCAAGGCGACGAUCGGUAGCUGGUCUGAGAGGAUGACCAGCCUCACUGGGACUGAGACACGGCCCAGACUCCUACGGGAGGCAGCAGUGGGGAAUAUUGGACAAUGGGCGCAAGCCUGAUCCAGCCAUGCCGCGUGGAUGAUGAAGGCCCUAGGGUUGUAAAGUCCUUUAACGGGAAGAUAAUGACGGUACCGUAGAAUAAGCCCGGCUAACUUCGUGCCAGCAGCCGC